CCCGCUACGUUGGCUUCUCCCAUCUCAUCCCUCUUCUUCUAUACACGCACACUCCACACUUUGCUCUCUUCUUCUUCUUCUUCUUGUUCAGUUUCUCUCGAAAUCUGAAUCGAUAGAGUGUGACGGAGCACGAAGAGACGCAG
Caenorhabditis elegans is the source of this 143-nucleotide non-coding RNA. NCBI's taxonomy places the organism in Eukaryota, Metazoa, Nematoda, Chromadorea, Rhabditida, Rhabditidae. The record is from Ensembl.